Molecule: transfer RNA, 84 nt
Filed under: bacterium
Lineage: Bacteria
Description: tRNA-Tyr
Rfam family: tRNA
About the family: Transfer RNA (tRNA) molecules are approximately 80 nucleotides in length. Their secondary structure includes four short double-helical elements and three loops (D, anti-codon, and T loops).
Source: RNAcentral
GGAGGGAUGUCCGAGUGGUUAAAGGAGGCAGACUGUAAAUCUGUUCGGCUAGUCCGUACCCAGGUUCGAAUCCUGGUCCCUCCA